RNAcentral lists this unclassified non-coding RNA (2657 nucleotides) under Leishmania donovani. RNAcentral describes it as "gene:LdHU3.18.0090(CDS-product:Semialdehyde_dehyd rogenase_NAD_binding_domain/NADH(P)-binding/3-beta_hydroxys teroid_dehydrogenase/isomerase_family_putative)". The record is from RNAcentral. Lineage: Eukaryota; Euglenozoa; Kinetoplastea; Trypanosomatida; Trypanosomatidae.
GCGUGCGUGCACUUUUUUUUUCGCUGGCUGCUGUGCUCGCACGCAAAGCACCGAGGUCAUAGCAGUAUAGGAGCAUCUUUUUUUAUUCUCGGGCUUCUUGUUUUUUUUUCCCCUCCCCGUUUCCCGCUGCCCGAGCAUUACCGGCGUCGCGGCGAAAGCAACAGACACUCGCAGCCUUGCCGACAAGUGAGCGAAGGCCGCGAUAAGUAGUACGCACACACAAAACACAGUAGAGAGGGGUGAAGAAACGGUAGCGUGUAGCACGCUGUCUUACACCUUUCUUGCCUGACUCUCCUUCCCCGACCCAUUCUGCUUAGCUGCUGUUUCUCAGCCCCUCAAAAAAGGCAGUAACACAGCAACCCUUCAAAUUAACGUGUGCUAUUAGGCAUGCAGCGGUUUUCAGUCAGGUCGGCGUGUGCCGUCGCCACCGUAGGCGCUGUGCGCACCUUCUGGGACCCGUUCGGUCACCAGCCCGAGUCCAUGUUCCUCGACCGCAAGGACUUGUGCCAAAUGUACCCGACCCAGAAGCCGAAGACUACGGGCGGUGGCUUCGGCUACGAGCGCGGCCCAUAUUGGGCUACGAUGCUUUUGCCAAACCCUGCUGUGCGCCUGCCGCACGAGCGGCGUCGCCUCAACCCGAAGCCAGCGAAGCGCGUCACCGUCUUUGGCGCCAGCGGCUACCUCGGAGCUGAGAUUGUGCGGGAGCUGUGCGAGCACCCAGACAUCGAAAAGGUACGCGCCACCACGCGCUACCCCACGCUCAUCCCGCAAGGAUCCGACCUUGACGGCCUCCUGCGCAAUCACCCAGACAAGCUAGAGCUGCACGAGUGCGACGUGACAGACCGGAUUCAAGUCAACGUCGCCGCAAACGGGAGCGACACUCUUAUUUUCGCUGUCGACUACCACGCCGAAUACGCCAACAAUAGCCAUCAUGACGUGUUCCUGAUCGGCGCUACAAACGUCAGCUGGACUGCGCGCAGCGUACGAGCAGAGCGUGUCAUUUUCUGCAACGGCCUCGACGCCACUUUUGCAUCAGAGUCGAACUACGUCGACUUCCGCGCCCGCGGAGAAGAUGCCGUCGGUGCCAACCACCCGGACGCCACCAUUAUUCGCUUCGGCCCACUAUACGGCAAGAACUACCGCUACCGCGGUCUGGGCCGCUACAUCUACCCAGCAUGCUUCCCGAACACGCAGGUGCAGCCCACGUGGGUCGUUGACGCCGCGCGUGCCGUCGUGCGGUGCUCCAUGUCCCACCGUGCCGUGCGCUACAAGUUCGACCUUGGUGGCCCGCAGACGCUGAGCCACGUGGAGGCGUUCCGGGAGAUUGCUCGCCACUUCGAGAAGCGCCUUGUAGUGCCGUGCUACCGCGGUUUCGGUCGCUUCUUUGGCAAGCUUGCCGCCUGGACGGUGCCCAACCCGUGGUUCGACGACAACUACGUCCUCACCUUCGAGCUGGAUCAGGUGAACCGCCGUAGCACUCUUUUCGAUCGGCUGGCGAGCUGGGAGCGUAUCGCGUACACGCCACACACCAUCCGCGAGGCUGCCGAGGUUGAACGUGGCAUCCGAAAGCUCGCCCCCUUGCAUGAGCUGGACAUCGCCUUCAAGGAGCUGGAGGCGGCGGACAAGGCUGCCUUUCAGCAGGAGGAGGAGGCGGCGAAGAAGUUCGGCAUCUAUCGCGCGAAGGCAGAGCCGGGCUUCGGCCGCACCGAUGGCCUCGAGGCCCUUGCUCAGGAGAUCUACCCCGGUCAGCAGUUCCGCAUCAAGCCGCUGGAGGGCGCCAAGUACCCAUCGAACGUCACGCAGCCCGGCCCCACAGCGAUUCAGUAGACGUAGCGCCUUGGUUUCACUUUUUUUUAUAUUUCUUUCUCAACUGUAUGGAGCGGAUGCAGGGAGAGGGAUGGGAAGAGGCUUAUGCCCGUGCUUACUUGCGUCUCGCCAGUCUACUGAAGGGGUGCACAACCCUAUGCUCGCGACUGAGACAAAGCUGGGUUUCUUCCGCUUUCUCCCGUCUCUGAGCUGCUGGUGCGUGUCUUUCACCCUCCACCUCUCGUCCCCCUCUUCAUGCUCCUCUGCUCCCGACCUGGUAUUGUGGCCGAUGCGUGCUUUUCCAGAUCACGAGUGCCGUGUGUCUCUUGUUCUUCGGUGGGGGGCGUGCGUGUGCCUUUCUGCUUGCCGUGUCGGCUGCCGGUAACUCUGAUUGUUGGUGUGUGAGGUAUGCGUCUGUGCCACCCCCUAUCUUCGAUUUUCUCUUCCGCCGUUAGCAGCACUAAUGGCGUGUAGCACCCUCUUUUCCUGUAUGUUCUUCCCUCAUCCGAUAUCGCUUCCACAUCUCCCGCACCGCCCCCCCUCCCCACCCGCCUCUGUGUAGGGGUUGUUUACUAUGCUUGGCUCGUGUAUACAUGGGCGUGCAGCGCCCCAAUCAAAUCACGAAACGAAACGCGAUGGAGGCAACUGAUCUUCAGCUCAACGUGGAGAUAUCGUAGCCGAUAUUUUCGUGCUCCCGCGGAGGUGACUCCACCAGAUCUCCGUUUUUGUGUUGUCCGACCCGCGGCUUUUCUCUCUCUCUCUCUCUGCACGCUGCCUUCCAGCGUGCUCCGCUCGCCUCUCCUUUUUCCCCGCCACCUCUGUUUUGUGUAGACAUCAUCUCAGAGGUUGAG